RNAcentral lists this long non-coding RNA (586 nucleotides) under Lupinus mutabilis. Its description in RNAcentral is "partial ncRNA". The record is from RNAcentral. Lineage: Eukaryota; Viridiplantae; Streptophyta; Magnoliopsida; Fabales; Fabaceae.
CUUGCUGUUUUUUAUCACUCCUUCUUUCUUUAUGGAACUUGAUAUGUCUCUUUUCUCAAAUACCAUUUGAAAACUAUUUUUAUUCUAAGAUUAUGUGUGCAAAGAGGACUGAGCGCGUGAAAGUGGUUGACACCAUCUUUGUGUCGGAGGCUGAUAUUGGGGUUGGCCAUAGGGUUGUUUUGGUGAGAAGGCUUGGUUGCUCCAUUCAUGAGGAUAAUAAGGUGUGGGAUAUGAUUGUGAUUGUAUGGAUAAGGGUUAUAGUAGCUAGCUGUUGGGGUUAUGUGUGGGUGUGUUAAGGUGUUGGUGGUGAUACUAGCAGGAUAGCAAGGGUAUGGUGGUGGUUGGGUUUGGACCAUGAGUUAUGAUAAUUUGAUAGAGAUGGAUCUAAGUGCCUUAACCAUAGCUUCAUGCCUAACAUCAUCUUGUUUCUGGUUUUCUUUUAGUUUUUCCAAUAAAAGCUUUGCAAGGGAGGAUUCUGAAUCUUUGGGAGGCAUUUUAGAGUAGUAAUGAAAGCACCAAUUGAUAGAAUACAAAUUAGCAAUCUAUCAAGAACACUAGAAAUUAGUCUACUCCAACAUAAUAAAAG